RNAcentral lists this unclassified non-coding RNA (826 nucleotides) under Hevea brasiliensis (rubber tree). Lineage: Eukaryota; Viridiplantae; Streptophyta; Magnoliopsida; Malpighiales; Euphorbiaceae. The record is from RNAcentral.
UAUAGCAUUGUAGGUUAAUCAAAGAGACACUAUAUUCACUAUACAUUGAAAAACUUGAUUCAAUUUUUUAAACUAAGCUUAGUGCAACUCAAAAUAUUACACCACUAUACAAUGGAAAAUUUGGUUACAUAAAUUAAACAAAAAUUUCUAUAGAAGCUACUGCUAUCGAAGAUCGAUGCUCCAUAGAUCCUAUAAUAGUAAACAUUCUACUACAUCCAUCUUCCCAUCUUCAUUGCCAUCAUUUUCCUCUUCUUGUGUGCUUUAUGCUUUUCUGAGAUCCGCAGCUUUCUCUUGGCGUUUCUCAUUGGAUUGACGACAGCAAUGACCUUCUCUUCUUGUUUCCUCUUAUCCCUCUUCGAUUUGAUAUUCUUCCUUAUAUGACUGUAGAUUUGGACAAAAAUAUGUGUUCCUAUAACAUUGCUUAUGCUCCCCCGCACUCCUUCAGCCAGUUGUUUCACGUCGUCUGAUAUAACUUUUCCGGCAAAUCCUUCACAAACUUUGUACAGGGGCAACAGCAUAUGAUAUGCAAAGCUUUGGCAAUCAACCUCACCUUCAGGGGACAACAAUCUACUCUGAUCUAUAAGCUUUGGUGAAACUGAUUUGAAACAAUUGAAGAUAAUUCUCAUCUGCAUAUCCUCCACAUGAAGGGAAAUCUUUCCCAUUGUCUUAAGCAAAUAAGAAAUGACCAAGUAGCGCUGGCCUUCAUCUUCUUGAUCACUAAGGUCAGACACAAGAGACAAAUAGAUGUUUUUCCCUUUCCUUGAAUCAAGCUGUUGAAAAGCCUUAAGUAGAAGACCCUGCUCGUCAUGUUCAAUGGUGGACCAGA